GUUGAAGAACGCAGCAAAAUGCGAUAAGUAAUGUGAAUUGCAGAAUUCAGUGAAUCAUCGAAUCUUUGAACGCACAUUGCGCCCGCCAGUAUUCUGGCGGGCAUGCCUGUUCGAGCGUCAUUUCAACCCUCAAGCACAGCUUGGUGUUGGGACUCGCGUUAAUUCGCGUUCCUCAAAUUGAUUGGCGGUCACGUCGAGCUUCCAUAGCGUAGUAGUAAAACCCUCGUUACUGGUAAUCGUCGCGGCCACGCCGUUAAACCCCAACUUCUGAAUGUUGACCUCGGAUCAGGUAGGAAUACCCGCUGAACUUAAGCAUAUCAAUAAGCGGAGGA
This 332-nucleotide unclassified non-coding RNA is filed under the name soil metagenome. Its description in RNAcentral is "partial contains 5.8S ribosomal RNA, internal transcribed spacer 2, and large subunit ribosomal RNA". The stretch from base 1 to 120 matches the Rfam family "5.8S ribosomal RNA", at positions 35 to 154 of the family's 154-position model. The record is from RNAcentral.